Molecule: small RNA, 328 nt
Filed under: Vigna angularis var. angularis
Lineage: Eukaryota; Viridiplantae; Streptophyta; Magnoliopsida; Fabales; Fabaceae
Description: Non-protein coding transcript
Source: RNAcentral
CGACAAGGUCCUUUUCCAUGGGGCCCACCUCCCUACGUUAUAUUUCCAUUCCAUCAUGUAAAUCUUCAUGACGUGGCGUUCUCUGGUUGGAUGGAGUUGGAGCGAGAAACCGUUGAUCUAAACCACGAUGGAAACCGAAACCUUACCAAACGGCGGUUAUCUACGCAUCGGGAUAUGUGUGGGAAAUGUUAAUCUGUGCGCAAUCUCAUCUUCAAUUCAACAACCAUAUCAUGUCGCAAUAUUUUAACCUCUUGAUGGUGGGUCCCGAUGUAAAAAGGGUCCAUGGUAAAAACAUGGCAUGGCGCAGACAAUUCUGACAUAUGCGGUA